GGCACCUAUUAUGCCCCUUUUUACAAGAUAUAAUAAUGGUCUUGGGUGUCCCCAGAAUGUAUUUGUGAAGUUUCAGCACAAAAUACCCCACAGUUAAUUUAUUAUAACCAUUUGAAAAUGUCAUUUUUGGGGCCUGUUUUAAAAAGAGCUGUUUUGGUGUGUACCACCUUAAAUAUAAAUGAGCUGCAUAUCCCCGCCCUGCCUUUGGAUGAGGGCGUAACUGGCACACCUAUUACAAUGAGCGAUCGGUAGAAGCAGAAUGGCUGAGAGUGGGAGACCCGCUGUUUUGUAUGGCAUUCAGCCGUAUAUGUUUGAACCGGAAUCAGACCCAGAUGAUGAAGAGACUCCGGCAGAAGAAACACAAAUGAGAAUGGAGCAGGACGUCUCUGAAUGGUGUUUAUGUGGCAAAUGUGAGAAGAUGGCUACAGAACCAGAAAAUAUAUGCUGCAGGGAGAUAGAACAGGUUACAAGACGGAUGCAACAACUUCAAGUCACUCCAUCAUGUAUGGUAGACCAUCCCGGAAUGGAUCCAGUUUGUUUAAAUGGGUUUUCGUUACAAAACGCUUUUAACAUUUACAGGUCUGACUAUG
Carassius auratus (goldfish) is the source of this 590-nucleotide long non-coding RNA. RefSeq lists it as uncharacterized. The transcript is spliced from 3 exons. The record is from RefSeq and is a predicted model, not a curated record. NCBI's taxonomy places the organism in Eukaryota, Metazoa, Chordata, Actinopteri, Cypriniformes, Cyprinidae.